RNAcentral lists this ribosomal RNA (468 nucleotides) under uncultured bacterium. Its description in RNAcentral is "partial 16S ribosomal RNA". It matches the Rfam family "Bacterial small subunit ribosomal RNA", at positions 28 to 507 of the family's 1533-position model. The record is from RNAcentral.
GACGAACGCUGGCGGGGUGCUUAACACAUGCAAGUCGAACGGAAAGGCCCUGCUUUUGUGGGGUGCUCGAGUGGCGAACGGGUGCGUAACACGUGAGUAACCUGCCCUUGACUUUGGGAUACCUUCAGGAAACUGGGGCUAAUACCGGAUAGGAGCUCCUGCUGCAUGGUGGGGGUUGGAAAGCUUCGGCGGUUGGGGAUGGACUCGCGGCUUAUCAGCUUGUUGGUGGGGUAGUGGCUUACCAAGGCUUUGACGGGUAGCCGGCCUGAGAGGGUGGCCGGCCACAUUGGGACUGAGAUACGGCCCAGACUCCUACGGGAGGCAGCAGUGGGGAAUAGUGCAAAAUGGGCGGAAGCCUGAUGCAGCAACCCCGCGUGCGGGAUGACUGCCUUCGGGUUGUAAACCGCUUUCGCCUGUGACGAAGCGUGAGUGACGGUAAUGGGUAAAGAAGCACCGGCUAACUACGUG